GGCAGUUCUCGGGUGAUGCACCCUGGAAUCGGGCUCCCUCCUCUCUGGUUCCAGGGUGCGUCACUCAAGAACCGCC
Molecule: non-coding RNA, 76 nt
Organism: Myotis davidii
Lineage: Eukaryota; Metazoa; Chordata; Mammalia; Chiroptera; Vespertilionidae
Source: Rfam